Molecule: ribosomal RNA, 1081 nt
Filed under: Enterococcus faecium
Lineage: Bacteria; Bacillati; Bacillota; Bacilli; Lactobacillales; Enterococcaceae
Description: bacterial SSU rRNA
Rfam family: Bacterial small subunit ribosomal RNA
Source: RNAcentral
CGACUGGCGGCGUGCUAUACAUGCAAGUCGAACGCUUCUUUUUCCACCGGAGCUUGCUCCACCGGAAAAAGAGGAGUGGCGAACGGGUGAGUAACACGUGGGUAACCUGCCCAUCAGAAGGGGAUAACACUUGGAAACAGGUGCUAAUACCGUAUAACAAUCGAAACCGCAUGGUUUUGAUUUGAAAGGCGCUUUCGGGUGUCGCUGAUGGAUGGACCCGCGGUGCAUUAGCUAGUUGGUGAGGUAACGGCUCACCAAGGCCACGAUGCAUAGCCGACCUGAGAGGGUGAUCGGCCACAUUGGGACUGAGACACGGCCCAAACUCCUACGGGAGGCAGCAGUAGGGAAUCUUCGGCAAUGGACGAAAGUCUGACCGAGCAACGCCGCGUGAGUGAAGAAGGUUUUCGGAUCGUAAAACUCUGUUGUUAGAGAAGAACAAGGAUGAGAGUAACUGUUCAUCCCUUGACGGUAUCUAACCAGAAAGCCACGGCUAACUACGUGCCAGCAGCCGCGGUAAUACGUAGGUGGCAAGCGUUGUCCGGAUUUAUUGGGCGUAAAGCGAGCGCAGGCGGUUUCUUAAGUCUGAUGUGAAAGCCCCCGGCUCAACCGGGGAGGGUCAUUGGAAACUGGGAGACUUGAGUGCAGAAGAGGAGAGUGGAAUUCCAUGUGUAGCGGUGAAAUGCGUAGAUAUAUGGAGGAACACCAGUGGCGAAGGCGGCUCUCUGGUCUGUAACUGACGCUGAGGCUCGAAAGCGUGGGGAGCAAACAGGAUUAGAUACCCUGGUAGUCCACGCCGUAAACGAUGAGUGCUAAGUGUUGGAGGGUUUCCGCCCUUCAGUGCUGCAGCUAACGCAUUAAGCACUCCGCCUGGGGAGUACGACCGCAAGGUUGAAACUCAAAGGAAUUGACGGGGGCCCGCACAAGCGGUGGAGCAUGUGGUUUAAUUCGAAGCAACGCGAAGAACCUUACCAGGUCUUGACAUCCUUUGACCACUCUAGAGAUAGAGCUUCCCCUUCGGGGGCAAAGUGACAGGUGGUGCAUGGUUGUCGUCAGCUCGUGUCGUGAGAUGUUGGGUUAAGUC